RNAcentral lists this small RNA (553 nucleotides) under Malus domestica (apple). RNAcentral's name for it is "sRNA MD17G0153200". Lineage: Eukaryota; Viridiplantae; Streptophyta; Magnoliopsida; Rosales; Rosaceae. The record is from RNAcentral.
UACACACACAUUUGAUAUUUUGGUUAUGAGAUUUGAUAGAAACAAAGCUUCAUUGGACAUCUAUAUGUGUUUGUAAAUGGCAGUCAAUGAGGCAUGACCUGGGCUCAUGACGAAAAUGAUUUUCUAUUGGACAUAUCACAAAUUUCGAUCAAUGAGUUUGAAGAGACUUUCAGGGCUCAUAUUACAUGUUGAGAACAAACUUGCUAGAUGGGUGUACUUUGAGAUAAUCACUACAUGCAUAUGAAUCAUUUCUCCUUGAAAUAACAAACAAGAGUUGUUCAAUCAUAUUGUUCGAGACUCCUCCCCACCUCCUUCCCCUCCGGCUAAAACACUAGCUUUCGAGGUUGCCCCUCCAGCAGUUGCACCGCCCAUUAUGGCUGGACCUCAGGCUGAUGCACCAACUUUCAUGGCUACCCCUCCAGCACCACCGCACACUGCUCCUCCUAUAGUUACCCCUCUAGCACCACUUCUCCUUGUUACUAAAAACAAAGUUUUAGUUUCCUCCAAUAUUUUAUUCUAAAAUUGACUUUACUCUUGUGCAUUUGUGUUUCAA